This 492-nucleotide ribosomal RNA is filed under the name uncultured bacterium. RNAcentral describes it as "partial 16S ribosomal RNA". It matches the Rfam family "Bacterial small subunit ribosomal RNA", at positions 29 to 507 of the family's 1533-position model. The record is from RNAcentral.
AGUGAACGCUGGCGGUAGGCCUAACACAUGCAAGUCGAACGGCGGCACAGUAAGAGCUUGCUCUUACGGGUGGCGAGUGGCGGACGGGUGAGGAAUACAUCGGAAUCUACUUUUUCGUGGGGGAUAACGUAGGGAAACUUACGCUAAUACCGCAUACGACCUACGGGUGAAAGCAGGGGAUCUUCGGACCUUGCGCGAUUGAAUGAGCCGAUGUCGGAUUAGCUAGUUGGCGGGGUAAAGGCCCACCAAGGCGACGAUCCGUAGCUGGUCUGAGAGGAUGAUCAGCGACACUGGAACGGAGACACGGUCCAGACGCCUACGGGAGGCAGCAGUGGGGAAUAUUGGACAAUGGGCGCAAGCCUGAUCCAGCCAUACCGCGUGGGUGAAGAAGGCCUUCGGGUUGUAAAGCCCUUUUGUUGGGAAAGAAAAGCAGCAGGUUAAUACCCCGCUGUUCUGACGGUACCCAAAGAAUAAGCACCGGCUAACUUCGUG